RNAcentral lists this ribosomal RNA (397 nucleotides) under uncultured bacterium. Its description in RNAcentral is "partial 16S ribosomal RNA". It matches the Rfam family "Bacterial small subunit ribosomal RNA", at positions 338 to 733 of the family's 1533-position model. The record is from RNAcentral.
CCUACGGGGGGCUGCAGUGAGGAAUAUUGGUCAAUGGCCGGAAGGCCGAACCAGCCAAGCCGCGUGAGGGAGGAAGGCGCAGAGCGUCGCAGACCUCUUUUGCCGGGGGACAAAAGGCCGGACUCGUCCGGUACUGAGGGUACCCGGAGAAAAAGCAUCGGCACACUCCGGGCCAGCAGCCGCGGUAAUACGGAGGAUGUGAGCGUUAUCCGGAUUCAUUGGGUAUAGAGGGUGCGCAGGCGGCCCUUUAAGCGGGCGGUGAAAUCGCGGGGCUCAACCCCGCCGAGCCGUGGGAACGGGGGGCUUUGAUGGCGGCGGAGGGAUGCGGAAUGCGCGGUGUAGCGGUGAAAUGCAUAGAUAUCGCGCAGAACCCGGAUGGGGAAGGCAGCGUGCAGUG